AUAACGACUCUCGGCAACGGAUAUCUCGGCUCUUGCAUCGAUGAAGAACGUAGCGAAAUGCGAUACUUGGUGUGAAUUGCAGAAUCCCGUGAACCAUCGAGUCUUUGAACGCAAGUUGCGCCCGAAGCCAUCAGGUUGAGGGCACGUCUGUUUGGGCGUCACG
Molecule: ribosomal RNA, 163 nt
Filed under: Petrocodon viridescens
Lineage: Eukaryota; Viridiplantae; Streptophyta; Magnoliopsida; Lamiales; Gesneriaceae
Description: 5.8S ribosomal RNA
Rfam family: 5.8S ribosomal RNA
About the family: 5.8S ribosomal RNA (5.8S rRNA) is a component of the large subunit of the eukaryotic ribosome.
Source: RNAcentral